CUUUUGACCUCGGAUCAGGUAGGGAUACCCGCUGAACUUAAGCAUAUCAAUAA
RNAcentral lists this ribosomal RNA (53 nucleotides) under Alternaria sp. ZL-1. RNAcentral's name for it is "partial 28S ribosomal RNA". Lineage: Eukaryota; Fungi; Ascomycota; Dothideomycetes; Pleosporales; Pleosporaceae. The record is from RNAcentral. RNAcentral also lists the same sequence under 1 other name.